GAGGUGUGUUCUCUCAAAUCUCUCUCAAGCCCUAACUCUACACUCUCAGAUCUCUCUGCAACCCUAACUUUAACUCUCCACUCUCCUUCUCUAUUUUCACUUUCAUAUACAGAACCACUUCCGAAUCUUGGGGUUUCAUCCUCCUCUUCACUUUUCCUUCAUUUUUAACCGAUUAAAACCACUUUUCUACUGAUUAAAACCCUUUCUGCCGUUUGUUAUUCGAUUUCCACCGAUUCAACCUCUAUUUGCGUCGUUUAAACACUUUUUUACCGAUCAAUCUUGUGUUUGAACCAAUUAAUUGGUUCAUUUUAAGUUUCUCCCUAUUUUUGGGGUUUCUUAGGUCCAGAUUAGGGUACUUCCUCCAUUUUGGAGUUUUCCCCCAAUCGGGCUUCUAUUCAUUCGUUUAGGAAGCUUCGAAGGAGUUCGAGUCGAGUCCGCAUCGCUCUUUUGGUCAUCUCCUCGGAGGCUCUUCCGUCAAGUGGCUGCAAAAUCAAUCACACCCGAUGGCGUUUCGGCGCUGCUACUCUUUUGAAACCCAAAGAAGAGGCUGGAUUGAAGACUUAAGGUGUUGUUGGGAUUGUUUUUGAACCAAAAGCAGGAAGUGGUGACAAAAUCUGCUGCGGAGAUUCUAAACGAUCAACAUAGAAAACUUUUGAGGAGGUCAUGACACCAAUUGAAUCUACAUUUUCCUUGGAUGUGGCUUCCAAAUUGGACUGGUCAUUUCAUUGGAUUUACCACUAGCUAUUAAAUUAUUCAUCAAUACAAGAGUUGAAGAUUCUCGGUUUGGGGUUUAUAGCCACCACUUUGAUGAUAAAUGGCUAGUUGGUGGAGCUUCAAACAUUGGUGGAGCAAUUCCUGGACAGUUUUUCACCGAUAGCCAAUUGUAUAAGUAGUUUAGUUUACUACUAUGUAAAA
Molecule: long non-coding RNA, 915 nt
Organism: Vigna angularis (adzuki bean)
Lineage: Eukaryota; Viridiplantae; Streptophyta; Magnoliopsida; Fabales; Fabaceae
Exons: 4
Source: RefSeq, a predicted model, not a curated record